CCCUUAGAUGUUCUGGGCCGCACGCGCGCUACACUGACGGAGUCAACGAGUUGUCCUGCAUCGGAAGGUGUGGGUAAUCUUUUGAAACUUCGUCGUGCUGGGGAUAGAUCUUUGCAAUUUUCGAUCUUGAACGAGGAAUUCCUAGUAAGCGUGAUUCAUCAGAUCGCGUUGAUUACGUCCCUGCCCUUUGUACACACCGCCCGUCGCUACUACCGAUUGAAUGGUUUAGUGAGGCCUCGGGACUGGCGCGCUCGAGUAGCAAUACACCUGCGCGCCGGGAACUUGGUCAAACUUGAUCAUUUAGAGGAAGUAAAANUCGUAGCA
RNAcentral lists this ribosomal RNA (324 nucleotides) under uncultured eukaryote. RNAcentral's name for it is "partial 18S ribosomal RNA". It matches the Rfam family "Eukaryotic small subunit ribosomal RNA", at positions 1470 to 1796 of the family's 1831-position model. The record is from RNAcentral.